ACGUAGGGAGCGAGCGUUGUCCGGAAUUACUGGGCGUAAAGGGCGCGUAGGCGGGUAAUUAAGUCAGAUGUGAAAGCCCCGGGCUUAACUUGGGGAGUGCAUUUGAGACUGGUUAUCUUGAGGGCAGGAGAGGAGAGUGGAAUUCCUAGUGUAGGAGUGAAAUGCGGAGAUCUUAGGAGGACCACCAGUGGCGAAGGCGUCUUACUGGACUGUCCCUGACGCUGAGGGGCGAAAGCUUGGGGAGCAAACGG
RNAcentral lists this ribosomal RNA (251 nucleotides) under uncultured prokaryote. RNAcentral describes it as "partial 16S rRNA". It matches the Rfam family "Bacterial small subunit ribosomal RNA", at positions 525 to 775 of the family's 1533-position model. The record is from RNAcentral.